Molecule: ribosomal RNA, 497 nt
Filed under: uncultured bacterium
Lineage: Bacteria
Description: partial 16S ribosomal RNA
Rfam family: Bacterial small subunit ribosomal RNA
Source: RNAcentral
GAUGAACGCUGGCGGCGUGCCUAAUACAUGCAAGUCGAGCGAACAGACGAGGAGCUUGCUCCUCUGACGUUAGCGGCGGACGGGUGAGUAACACGUGGAUAACCUACCUAUAAGACUGGGAUAACUUCGGGAAACCGGAGCUAAUACCGGAUAAUAUAUUGAACCGCAUGGUUCAAUAGUGAAAGACGGUUUUGCUGUCACUUAUAGAUGGAUCCGCGCCACAUUAGCUAGUUCGUAAGGUAACGGCUUACCAAGGCAACGAUGCGUAGCCGACCUGAGAGGGUGAUCGGCCACACUGGAACUGAGACACGGUCCAGACUCCUACGGGAGGCAGCAGUAGGGAAUCUUCCGCAAUGGGCGAAAGCCUGACGGAGCAACGCCGCGUGAGUGAUGAAGGUCUUCGGAUCGUAAAACUCUGUUAUUAGGGAAGAACAAAUGUGUAAGUAACUAUGCACGUCUUGACGGUACCUAAUCAGAAAGCCACGGCUAACUACGUG